GAAGUUUAAGAGCCGAAUGCUACUUAAACCAUCGCGAACUCGUCCAAGUUGCUUCGGCGGCGCGGCCUCCCUCACGGGGGCGCCGCAGCCCCGCCUCUCCGGAGGUGUGGGGCGCCCGCCGGAGGUACGAAACUCUGUAUUAUAGUGGCAUCUCUGAGUAAAAAACAAAUAAGUUAAAACUUUCAACAACGGAUCUCUUGGUUCUGGCAUCGAUGAAGAACGCAGCGAAAUGCGAUAAGUAAUGUGAAUUGCAGAAUUCAGUGAAUCAUCGAAUCUUUGAACGCACAUUGCGCCCGCUAGUACUCUAGCGGGCAUGCCUGUUCGAGCGUCAUUUCAACCCUCAAGCCCUGCUUGGUGUUGGGGCCCUACGGCUGCCGUAGGCCCUGAAAGGAAGUGGCGGGCUCGCUACAACUCCGAGCGUAGUAAUUCAUUAUCUCGCUAGGGACGUUGCGGCGCGCUCCUGCCGUUAAAGACCAUCUUUAACUCAAGGUUGACCUCGGAUCAGGUAGGAAUACCCGCUGAACUUAAGCAUAUCAAAAGGCGGGAGGGAA
RNAcentral lists this ribosomal RNA (551 nucleotides) under Ophiocordyceps sinensis. Its description in RNAcentral is "eukaryotic LSU rRNA". The stretch from base 178 to 331 matches the Rfam family "5.8S ribosomal RNA". Lineage: Eukaryota; Fungi; Ascomycota; Sordariomycetes; Hypocreales; Ophiocordycipitaceae. The record is from RNAcentral.